AAUUGCAGAAUCCCGUGAACCAUCGAGUCUUUGAACGCAAGUUGCGCCCGAAGCCCCCGGGCCGAGGGCACGUCUGCCUGGGUGUCACGCAACGUCGCCCCCCACCAACCCCUGCCCCGACCACGUCCGGGCGGCGGAGGAGGGAGCGGAGUAUGGCCUCCCGUUGGCACAGCCCGCGGUUGGUUGAAACACGAGUUCCCGGCGCAACGCGUCGCGGCGAUCGGUGGUUGAAAGGCCCCUAAACACCGCCGCGCACCGUGCGAUCCGGACCCUCAAGACCCCGAAGCGUCCGUAGGCGGACGCCCCACACGCGACCCCAGGUCAGGCGGGACUACCCGCUGAGUUUA
This 347-nucleotide ribosomal RNA is filed under the name Aporosa yunnanensis. RNAcentral's name for it is "eukaryotic LSU rRNA". The stretch from base 1 to 87 matches the Rfam family "5.8S ribosomal RNA", at positions 70 to 154 of the family's 154-position model. Lineage: Eukaryota; Viridiplantae; Streptophyta; Magnoliopsida; Malpighiales; Phyllanthaceae. The record is from RNAcentral.